Molecule: non-coding RNA, 75 nt
Organism: Myotis lucifugus (little brown bat)
Lineage: Eukaryota; Metazoa; Chordata; Mammalia; Chiroptera; Vespertilionidae
Source: Rfam
UGUGCAUUUGGGGGGUUCCCUCAGCCCAGAUUGUGAGAGGGUGCAGGCCAGGCCGAAGGACCCCACCAGUGCACG